GCUCCGUCAUCCCAGUGUUCAGACUACCUGUUCAGGGCCAUACUGGUGUACAGUAGUCUGCACAUUGGUUAGACUGUGCA
This 80-nucleotide microRNA precursor is filed under the name Scleropages formosus (Asian bonytongue). Its description in RNAcentral is "mir-199 microRNA precursor family". It matches the Rfam family "mir-199 microRNA precursor family". Rfam says of the family: This family consists of the microRNA (miRNA) precursor mir-199 which appears to be specific to humans. Lineage: Eukaryota; Metazoa; Chordata; Actinopteri; Osteoglossiformes; Osteoglossidae. The record is from Rfam by way of RNAcentral.